UGGGCAACCUGCCCUGCACUCUGGGAUAACUUCGGGAAACCGGAGCUAAUACCGGAUAACAUCCUCCUCCGCAUGGUGGGGGGUUGAAAGUUCCGGCGGUGCAGGAUGGGCCCGCGGCCUAUCAGCUUGUUGGUGGGGUAGUGGCCUACCAAGGCGACGACGGGUAGCCGGCCUGAGAGGGCGACCGGCCACACUGGGACUGAGACACGGCCCAGACUCCGUACGGGGAGGCA
RNAcentral lists this ribosomal RNA (233 nucleotides) under uncultured bacterium. RNAcentral describes it as "partial 16S ribosomal RNA". It matches the Rfam family "Bacterial small subunit ribosomal RNA", at positions 118 to 350 of the family's 1533-position model. The record is from RNAcentral.